Taeniopygia guttata (zebra finch) is the source of this 18841-nucleotide non-coding RNA. Lineage: Eukaryota; Metazoa; Chordata; Aves; Passeriformes; Estrildidae. The record is from RefSeq and is a predicted model, not a curated record.
AUAUAUGGAUCAUGCAGAUCCCUUUCAGACUGUAAACUAGAGAGGAGCUGGUAGGACUUUUCUAACCUGCAAGGAGACAGGCAGGUUACAUCAGGUCACACAGGAUGGAGAGGCUGCGAUACUGAGGUCCUGGGAGGAAUAAGGGGAAAGAUGAGAUCUGGAAAGCAGGAGGCCACCUUGCAGGGACAGGCCCCAGACACCUAUAAGGGCUUUCCACCCACUCCUAAAGCAGGUGUCCUAGAGCUGUGUCAGACCUGUAGCCAAAUUGCAGGUAACCAUAUAUUAAUCCCCCAACUUCUUGGAAGUAAAACAUGACCUGAAGUUAAUGCUGAAGCAGAGAGGAAGGACCCAGCACAGGUAAAUGAUCACAGCAGCCCCAGUAGAGCAUCCCUGGUAAUUUGUGCCCUGUAUCCAGGUGUACUGCUGGUUCAGUGACACUGUUUCAUAGCUGCAUCCAGACCUACUUCUAAUACAACUUGUAUACUAGAUCAUGAGAGUAUUUACAAACAAAACAUUAAGAAUGUAGCACAGGGAUAUAGGGGAGAGCGUUAGAUGUCAUGAAUAGGCCACUGAGAUUUGAAAGGCCUUUAGGGUCAGACACCCCAAAGUGACACAUGCAUGUGACAAACAUUUGAGAGCUUACAAUAGUAGAGAGUGUUGCUGAGCAUUUAAACACUUGACAUGCUCACUGCUGACCCUUAAGAUGUUUAAAUAAAGAAUAAUUUAAAAUAAAACAUAAUAAUUAAAAAUGCAUGAUCUCUGUGAAGAGACAAAGAGUUUUAUUAACUUCUGAUUUGAGGUUUACCAUUCCCUUAUUAAAGAGUAGGAAUUAAUCUCUUUUGAAACAAUAAAAAUCUAGACUGAAUUAAACUGUUCCUGAUACAGGAGCUGGACAAGAUGAUUUCAAGAUGCCUUCUAACCUAAAUUACUCUACAACUCUAAAACAGCCCACCAAACUGCAAGAAAAAUCAACCAAGGGAAUUGCUCAAGUAGAAACAAACAGCAGCAAAACUGUUAGUGAUAACCACCAAAUAAUAAUAUCCACUGGUGAAUAUACACACAUAUGCACAUAAUAUUCAAAGAGCCCAAAUUCCUUCAACAGGUGUUUCAGGUAGAGUCAAGAAAAUAAGAGAUUUUUAUACUGGGUUCUUUCUCCCAGCACAGAGAGAAGUUUCAAAAGUUGGCUGAGCAGACUCUGAAAGUGACUCCAUGUGAUGCUGACCUUUUAAAUACCACCACACCUACCAAGGCUGGGUGAAGAAAAGGAAAAAGUGCUUGCUGGCAAAAUGGAAGACACUUAUACAUUGUUGUGCCAGCCCUGGAAGACAGAAAAAGCACCAAGUCCUACACAGUUCAACAGAAAGAUUCAUUAAGAAAAUCCACAUGUAACCCAACAAGACUGUUCCUGUAAGGGCCUACAAAGAAUUUCUAUUGAUAUCUGGAACUAACAUUGCUUAAGUCUUAAGCGAGAGUUGCCUGGGACCCCCAUAAAUGAUAUGCAAGGAAAGAAGAUUCAAGGGACUUGAAUAUAUCUGGUGGAAAAAGCUGUUGUGUUACUUAGAGAUUUGGCAACUGCUGCUAUGACAUGAAACUACGACUGGGUGGAAAGUCUGCUGACUUAGGUGCUGAUUACUCUGCUGUUAAAGCAUCAUGCAAGCAGCAGUGUCCAGCUGGCACUAAUGAUACAUCACAACACUCCAUCUGCAGCUCCCCAUGCACACUGUGGGGGGAAUGUCCUGUGCAAAGUACAAGAGGCAAAUAGGCAAGAGAAGAUAGAAAUACAAACCAAACAAACACUACUUGCUUAUUGUGGUACACUCCUAGCCUCCCCAGUACUACCAAAGAAUGAUGAAUGACCAGUGAACACAUGGAAAUAUUAACUUCCAUUUAUUAUUAUGUUUUUUCAAUUUAAAUAUUACUAUCAUCUGAAGUAAAACACUAUUUGAAGACACUCCUGAAAGCAGCAGUAGGUUUUGUGUGCAGCCACACUCUGGUUCCCUUUUCCUGUCGUCACCUGAGAAAGGCUCUUUAAAAUAAAAAAUUCUCCAUAUUGAUUUUUGACAUGCUCCACGCUUCCUAGAGACAGAUUCAGAGCAGCAAUCUUCAAAUGUUCCUUUGUUUCACCUCUCAUUUUUCUAUACAAGAGCUAUUUGAGUGCUAUUGUGACCCUGAAAGAAGGAAUGGUUUUGUUAUUCAGAUUAAUCGCCAUUUCCACACUAAACAAAGACCAUCAGGAAGAAAGUGACUUAAGAAAAUAUGAUCACCAGAAGCAGCUGUAGAGCAAGAGGUAGAAAAAAGAUAAUUUUUCACCUACGCAUAUGGAACUCCAAACGAGGCUCAUCAAUUGGCUGAAAUAAUCUAUGACAUGAGAAACAUAAAUGAUUAAUAUCAACUUUUGCUAUAAAGCUCUUUUCUUCUUUCCUUUCACCUUCCUUCCUCACAUUUCUGUCACUUUGUGUUGCCUGGGGCUCAGAAAGGAAGAUUUUGUUAAAUUUCCAUAAUGCAGCAGAACCAUUAAUCUCAUAGCCAUAGACUCAGAAAAAAAAUUGGUAAGUUUACAGGGAGUAAAACUUAGUGUACAGUUACAAUCAGGAAAACAACUUACAUUUAUGAUUUCAUAUGUCCCCAGGACAAUGUGGGAGUCAGGCUAUCCUGACUGCUGCCACUAUAGAAUGGACUGCAAGAAAGUGAGAUGGGUUUUGCUCCCCUGUAUCUUCCAAUUUACCCUUGGUUUCCCUUUGGAGAGCUAGAUCAGGUGAAAAAUUCCUGACUAGAUGAAGCACCUCUGUUUUCUUGUCCCAGCAGGGAUCUGACCAAAGCAAUGACAGAACAACUCGCCAUCAUCAAGUCAGAUUGGUGAGGAAGGUGACUGGGAGACUGCCACCAUGAGCAGCACGGGCGGAGCCCAGUCUCCAUGUUCUGCUCUUUGGCUGAGCUGGGCUUUCUGCCCCUUGCAUGUGCCUGCGUCAAACAGUGUGCUUUUGUCAUCUCUGUCUGAGCAGCUGGGGGAGUGAGCUGAAGGAGACUGCCAUGGGUCAGCCUGCAGCUUUCAUCAUAGCAGUGCCAGGCUCAGAUCACCUGAAACAGCACUGCUGCUCCUUUUCCUGCACAGUCCCUCUUGCCAUGCCUGCCCCCAUGGCUGCUCUGCUGAGGCAGCAGCACAUUCCCGAGGGGAAAGGGGCUGCAAGCCACAAACCCCACUGACGAGAUCCCAGUGGCUGUGCCAGAACAGCAUAAGUGAAUCCUCAGCGCAAAAAUCAAAUCCUCUCAACAGACCAGCAUGGAAGCAAAGCAACUACAGCUUCCACACCACCCUCUUCAAACACGACAUGAGGCACCCAAGAAAGAUUUGAGCUGGUUUUCCACAACCUCUGCCUAUGAGGACACACUAAUGUCUUCCAGACAGGAAGAUUUCUCCCUGUAACUUGGCCUCUCAUGACACCAGUCCUUACACUGUCCUUGCAGCUUGGCAGAAGGCGUCCUUUUUACCUCCCAAGUGGCUGCCUAUACAUACUGACUGUAACUGGAGGGGCAAUAGACAUUAAGUUUGCCAGCUUCACUGGGAUUCAUAUUUAAUAAUGAGAUUGAAAAGGUGAAAGCAGUACAAUUUUAUUCUGUCAGAGCCAAAAGCUUGUUUCUGAUGACAAAGUUGGAGAGGAGGACAAAAGGACCAAAACCUAUUUUAUAAGAUGACACAACCUUCCCAGUGCUAUCACCUGAAACUCCUGAAGCACCUUUUUUGCUGCAGGGGGAAAGAAAUGGGACAGCUGCAUUCCCCUAGAGCUAAGCCCUAGGGCAUUCCAGGGGCUGCUGCAUCAAACCACUUUCCUCCUGCCCAAGCAGAGCCUCCCAGCUCCCAUAUCUGCAUUCAGUGGCAGCUUCCUGACCUUCUGUUGUUGUUCUCUGCUUUUUAGCGAGCAGCAAAGCCACUCCUGGCUGCUUUUUCCUUAACAAGUAGAGCUGCCAUUUCCCAAGUUUUAUCCCCAGACUCUAGAAUAUCAAAGUGCAGGAGUGAUGUCUCUCUUGGCCCUCCAGGCCCUCUGAUCACAGAGUGCCAUCAUGCUCUCUAAUACAUUUCUCCAAGCUUUUGAGGUAUUUUCAGUCCCCUCAGGACAAUCUCACUUUUUGAUAAGUAAUAAACCAUCUGGAAUAUUUGUUGCAUGCUUACCUUACAAAUCUUUCCAUUUUCAGUCUGCUUUCACCCCUCCACUGGGAUCAACCACAUUGCAGAAAAAAAAAACAAACACAGGAGACAGAUCUGGCCUGUAAAGGAAGCCUUCCAGGUGUCCCUUUGACUCUGAGUUCAGAGAAAUUUGUACUCAUAGUAGAGACUUUCUCAGCACACCUACCUUCGCACACAGUGGAGUCAACCACAGAGUUUCUCAGCUGAAAAUUAUUAUAAAAUAAAUGAAGAGGUAAAAUCCUUCUGAAGCUUCAAAGAGGAUGUCAAUCAUCAGAAGACUUGAUGAUUUUUAAAUACAUGUGCUGCUGCAGCAGCAUUGCAGAAUGUCAAUGUUUCUCAAGAAUAAAUGCAUGAGACUGUUAAGUCCAACCUCUUGGUAAAAAGUUGUUGAAUUAGUAAAAGGAUUUUGUUUCUAUUUCAAUGAAGACUAAAUUCUUCCAUUACUUCAGCUGCCAAAGCAGUUUUUAUAAAGAAAACCUCCCAGAAGACUCCAACUGGCAAGUUUCCUUACAACUGGCAAAGGUGCACUCCUAGGUCAUCUGCACAGACAACCAAAUCCUGUCCCUGGAGUGGCAUCAACCACCCUGAGCAUUUGAGACUUAAUUGAUCAAAACAUUUGAAUAUCAAACCUAAGGCUCAUGAAAGCGCCACUAAAGUAAAAAGACUGCUUGUAUGCUAAAAAAUACACAUUAGCUAAAAUAUUUUGCUAGGUCAUCCACCAUGGUCCCACCAGUAUUUAUGAUUAAUUAGCUUAUUCCACUUGGAAAAUUCAGGGCCUUUACAGAGGACUGAUUAAAAGGUCUAGACCUUAAAAAUAUGCCUAUGUUUUAAUUCAGUUACAAAUGUCAAAACAACUAUUUAAAUAACAUAAAGUAAUGUAAAUGUGAAUAAUCAGAUAUUAAUAUUUUCAGACUGGUUUACUAACACAUUUACACUGAUUAACCAUUUAUUUUUUCCAGAAGUGCUCUGCAUAAAGAUACAUUAAUAUAGAAAAUUAGCCCAGCUUACUAAACUAAUAUAUUUGUCACCAUCAUAGAAAAUCCUAGAUUUAUUAAGCAGGAGCUAUUUUACCUUGUAAAAGCAAGGAAUAGAUUGCAAAAAAAUGUAUGAAUUUAACAAAAAUCAGUGUUUUAUAUGCAACAAAACAAAUACUAUUGCAUAUAGAGCUGGAGGGGCUUUUUUGUUUUUUAAAGACAGCCAUGCACAGGAUCUGUAGAGUCAAAUAUUUAUUUGCCAUAUAAAGCUCAAGAAUAAUCAUAUAUUUAAAUGAAAUACCAAAAUAUCAAAACUACAACUAAUUGCAGUUAACUAACUGCAAGUAUGCAAACAAUUUCUAGACACUGACAUGCUUAAUGUUGUGCAUUGCUAAGUUUCUUCAAAAUCUAAAUCAAUGUAAAGCAAUAUUAAGAAAAAAAACUUCUACUAAGACCUUCAAGUCUAUGCCAAAUCUCCUCAGUUGCCAAAGAAAAAUUUAAACAGUAUACCUGAAAGAAAAAAUGAGGCUUUUUUUUCUCUGAGCCAGACUCUCCUCCAUAUAUGCUAUAUUUUGAAGAAUUAGGAAACAAGGUUCUACAGUCUUCCACUAAAAAAUGGUUCUACCAAUAAAAGUAAAAACAUGUCUGAUUACUCUUUAGAUAGAGGUCAUAGGGGCAAGUCAUUCUACAGAACCUCAACAGACCCUGUCAACUUCAAAACAGUAACGUGGCAAAAUCUUGGAGUACUUUCCACAGCUAAAGAAGGAAGAUGAGACUUUGAACAUCCACAAGAUAUAGUGAAUGUAGAUACAGUUCUGAUCAGAAAUAUUUCCACCUGACCAGGAAAUAAUACACUAAAAAAACCUUAUAUUAAAAGUAGUAAAAGCAUAGUAUUAAAACUAUAGUAUAAAUAGUUAAAAUAGACAUUAAAUAAACUUUGGUAAGGGAAUAACAGUUGUUAAUAAAAAUUCCUUAUUUAAAGAAAAAUGUAUUAUCAAUCACAUUUAUGUGUAUGAACAUUUAGAUUUAAUUUUUUUCACCAUUAAUUUUACUAUUAUUUUAGCAUUCAGUUAAGUUGCUCAAAAUAAGAAUGAACAGUGUUCAUGAUGCAAGAACAUUAUCACUUGCUUGCAAGUCUUAGGACAAUAUAAUGGCUGCAUCUGAAAAGAUGCACUGAAACUAUCUCAGACCUGGAUCAGGUCUCCUCUAUACAUAAGUCCAUUAAACGAGAAUUUCCCACUCCUAUGAAGAUGACCUUAUAAUGUUAUUCUGAAGUGUCUCAGAAGCUGUUUUACUGAAGCUUGCAUCGGUCAAUCCCCAGAUUUUUGUGUAAAACCAUUUUUAUUCAGUCAUUACUGGUUCUUCUAGUUCAGCUUUCAAAUAUUCACUGCCUGAUUCAUAGAUGUGAGCUCAACAGAAAAAUUUCAAUAAUAUAUUUUCAAUAAAAGUUUCUAACACAGCACAAAAUUCAGGGUUGCUGAGUUAUACAAGAUGGUCAUUCUGGACUAAGCCCACAGUGUGCAUCAAUAACUUCAGUGAGAUCCUGAGACUGUGCUGGAUGUCUGGAUGUUUACAAAUGCAGAGGCAUUAUUUCUGCAAUUACUGGUUUUAGAUGCUGCCUUAUUCACAGAAUUUUGGACAUAUUCUUUGAAGCAAUUGGCCUUUAAGCUUGAUGCAUGUCCAAAGAGUUGUUAAGUCUUGAAUUCCUUUGCCAUCACUUCCAUUUGCAUGUUCUAGCCUUACAUAAAAACCUUGUUUCAACGAAAUGGAUUCCUAUUUUGCUGAAAUAAGUAUUUCUUCUGUACUUUAAAAGCAAAUAUUUUCCAGCUUUUCCCUUUCUAUCUUCUAAAAAGUAAAUUGUGGAGCAGAAGAGGAUGUGAAAGAAUUUUUUAAAAUGUAGAUUUUUGUUGUAAUCAGAACUCAGUACAAAGUAUUACCAGAUAUACAACCUCUUCAUCAAAAGCCUGGUUUCCACGGUGACCAAGCACAUCGUCUGCUGGUUUGUUUUAGUUUUUAAAAAAAGUUGCUUUUUAAUGUCACCCAUCCCCAAAAUUAGGAUAGAAAAUAAGCUUAGAGAAAUGUAAUUUUUUUUUCCCCUACAGUAUCUAAACCAAACUGAGGACUUAGUUGCCCACACAGCAGCAGCAUAAUGCAUCAUUCUUUUUAUCUAAAGCUCACUCAUCCAACCCAGGUACUAGCAGCUACUCUGCUCUGGCAAAAAUGCUCAUCAAGGAAUUUUUUAAGCCAUAUGAAUGACAGUGACAAGUAGGUGAACCACCGCUCAAGCUCAAUGCCUUUAACCUAAAAUUUGGUGAGCUGGAUCAGGCUAGAAGCCUUCUAGUCUGCUGGCUGAAGCAGUAGUAGCCAGAGGUCAUAAUUUCUACCACCCUUAUAAUUAAAAGUGAGCACUUCUUUCCUCACCCUAUGAACUGAAUUACUGCAUCCCCUUAGCCAUGAGAGAAAUCCCAUUCUAACCAGACAUAACGUAAAACCAAGUUGAGUUCAUGAUUUUAUAUAUAUAUAUAUCAAAAUAGCUGAUUUUUACUUUUGCUAUUUCCGCUUGGCUUAUACAGUCAGUUCCCCACUUGCUACUCAUGGUAUUCAAUAUAAAGAAAGACUAAAAAGCCUUGUGCCUCAUUUCCCUGCCUGGGAGGAAAUGCCUAUCACUGGACCAGUCAGAUGGUCUUGUCCCUUUCUUGUCCUUAGUCACUAUGUAUUUACGUAGUAAUCAACAUUAAUAUAGAAUAGACACUGUCUAUUUCUCACUGCAAAUUUCAUCCUCUAUUCAGCUGCCCAGCACAUUCAACAUUUAAUUCAAUCCCACGUCCUAUUUUUAACAAUGACUCAUUUAAUUUCAUCCUCACCCUCUUGCAGUCUUAGUUCAAGACUAUUACAUAACUCAAACCAAUAAAAUAUACAACUACAUUUUUUACUGUUGCAGCUUAAUUGCUUAUAAUUUCUGCCAAAGAUGCCUUUUAUUUUAAUGCAACAUUGGAUGUUUACUAAUACAGGUUCUCAACAACCAGCUGUACUGAUAACAAGAGAUAAUACUUGAAGAUCACCUAGAGACAUCUGAGUUCUGCUUUGACGUGAUAAACACUACCCUUGUGAUCAUGCAGAAUAUUUGAAUAUUAGCUUCACCUUUCUGUUUCUUUCUCCCUCGCCUACUAUACACAGAAUGGCAUAGUUCAAUAUCUGCCUAAGGAAAAAAAAAAUAUAAUAAAAGCCUGUUUUCAGCAAGCCUGAGGUACAGCAUGUUCUUAUCUUUAUGCAUAGACCUGCAUGAACACUCUCCAUUCUCCCACUAAAUUAAUCUUCAAAAAUUUAUUUUUACUCUUCAAUAUUUUCAUCUUAAAAGCUGAAGUGCUUCAAGGAUAUGAAUGACAGUAUUUUUGGCAAGAGAGAAAAAGGCACCCAGGGGAAGCACUUAGAAAAAUGACAAAAAAGUAUGUAGGUAUUUCUGCAUGAAGUGUGUUUGCAGGUUUUAGUCCUGAUGUGGAAAAGAUUACUGGGCUUUGAGAACUUUUCAUUUGAAAAGCAGCAAUUACUUCUGUAACCCCAGAGUGAUGUCUGACAUGCACCUCAUUUUUUUUUUUCUAUGCAGACAACAGAUAGUCAAGUACCCAUUUCAGAUUACUGCAGUUUUAUUUCCAGGAUAGAAGGGGAAAAUGAUGUAGGAAACAAUGGACAAAAGGAAGCAUAGACAGAGAAGAGAGAGAGCAGUCAUAUAUUUGAAAAGCAACUUUGUUUAUCAUAGGUUCAAUUACCACAUGCUGCAGUGCAAGUGAGUCUUUCUAUUGAUUCCAACAGAGUUUAAACAAAGUCCUGACUUGCAAGAUAACACUCAGCAUUAAGGGGGCUCCAGCAGCCUGGUAAUCAGGAUUCAACUAGAAGCAAGUCAGCAGACUUAGGAAUUCUGUCCAAGAGGUUUUUUUGCCCUUUGCAAUGAAUGCUACUUGGUCUUCUUGACCAAAAGACAUGGCUUAGAUAUAAAUGCCAUGGCAAAACUGAAAGUAAUCAGACAUAAACACUAAGGAGCAAAUAUUCUAUUGGACACCAGAUCAACACCUGCCAAACAACCCCUCUGCUUAUCUGUUAUAGGAAUAGGCUCCCAGCUAGAAGCUGGCCACGGACCAGCUCUCUGGAGUGAGGCAAUCCACUCUCCCUUUGGCCCUCAGCAGCAGCCUGCCACCUCCAUGAGCAUCUUCCAUCCUGGCUGAGAGGUACAGACAACACUGGCUCUCUGCUCAUUGACUCCGUUUGAACCUUUCAGUCGCCUAAAGGCACAAGGGAAGCAAAGCACCUCACCUAUGACCAGGCAUGGGAAACCGCAGGAAGCGUGAGAGGAAAAGCUGCAUACAUGAAGCUUCCUCCAGCCAUCACCUCCUCAGAGCUGAACAGAAGCAGACUGAGGGCAAGCAGAGAUGCAUAGCUGGAAGCUCAUUUUCCCUGGAAAUACUAUAAAUGAAGAAUGAAAAAUAGGUAGAGAAUGAGGAACAAAUUCACAAUAUGUACACAGAACAAGUAGGUGGUCUGGAAGAAGAAGGAAAAUAGGAAGAGAUUUUCAGAGGUAUACAAUUAGGGGAAUGACUGAAGAGGAAGAAAUGUAAAAAUAAAUGUUAAAAAAUGGCAAAAAGAUGGAAAUACAGUAGCCGAAAGGGUAGACAGGAUGGCAUUUUUCAAAUUGGUAACUCCAGAUUUUUGCUUGAACUUGAUUACUCUUCUUUCAAUGAGGGGACUGAUGAGACACAAAGCUUUGUUACCUUAAACCAAGCUUUAAAGACAGAGGUGAAAAAGAAAUAAGGGCUUUACUGGAGUUACUUUACUUCGUUCAUUCCAUUUCAGUUAUACAGCUCCUGCUCUCUGGCUCAGUCUUGUACUGCAGUGCUACACAUGAACGCUUCCCACUUGACAUCUGAAACUCUUGACACAUCCUUUCUCUUUUAAAAGAGCAAGGCUUCAUUAUCCACAGAAAAAUGAAACAGCUCAUUUUAAAAAAUCUGAAAAAAAUAAAGAAAACACAUUAGCUAUUUGGGUUUUUUUUUUGUUCAUGCUCUUUGAUGUGACUACCAAAAGUGGAUUUAUUUCAAAGUUGGGGGUUUUUCAUCGUUUUUCUGCUCAAGGACAUAUCAGUUACUUACAUAUAGAACACUUCAAGAUUUAACUGUGUUAUAUUCUCUAAUGAGAAAUAAAAUAAAAAGCAUUCUAUUGUUAGACCCUUAAUUUCUCUGGAAGUAAAUUUGGAAAAGUCCUAUUUUGAUUCUGUAAAGUUAACAAGCAGAUACUUAAAAAUAAUUUUAUGCUUAUCUUUUAGUAGUGUUUUGAUUAUAAAAUAUGCAAGAUAAGUAUACUGUUGACAGGGAAAGGCAUGUCACUGACAGGAGAAUGAAACAGAUUGCUGUUCACAAACCCUUCUUUGAUUUAAAGACCUAUUUAAACAUUUCCUUCUUGCACUAAGUCUUGAAGAUCCUCUAGCACUAGAAGGGUGCAAUUGGAAGAGUGGUAUGAAGACACAUCCUUAGGUAAAACACAGUUCUUCGAUUACUGAUUCAAACUCUAUCCUCAACCUUUUCUUCAUUAAUUGACUAGCUUACGAAACCAAAAUAUUGCCCAGAGAAAAAGAGUCUCCAUUAAAUCUGAUAUUCAAAAUAAUUCUUAUUGCCCCAACAGUUCUCAAUGGACAGUGCAGAAAUAUAUUCAAGAAAAAAAAUAAGGCAAUCAAAAAGAAUUGAAUCUUAUAAGUCUAAGUCUGUGUUAGCUAAGUGGUGAUGUGAGGAGGAAAUUGUGUAUUACAGUCAAGGGACUGAGUUUAGGCUCACACAAAGCACCAGCUGUAAGAAAACAGGGAUAACAUCAGACUCCUGCUUGAACUCGUGCAAUGAUGUGCCAAUCUCAGAUCAACAAAAAGGGCAAAUAUCCACAUUGUAGAUAAAUAGGAAGGUCAGGUCUUGCAGCUAUUUUCAAAAUUAGCACAAAGAGAACACAGGAGAGUAAAUGCACUUCCAGCUCUAAGGAUGCUCUCUGAAGACAAGUUUGAAGCACACUGGUACAACAGUUCAGGAGGCAGUUCAGUGUUAGCAUUGCCAAUUUUAAAUGCCUUGAACCAACAGCAUGAUCAGUGCUGGCUGGCAUUUCCAAAUACAUUUUUACAGGAAUUACCAGCUCAUUGUAUUUAGGCAGAUUUUAGUUUCUCAUUCAUAAGUGGUAAGAAUAAUUAGAGAAGCAGAUAAAUUGAUCUCCAUGGCACAACUUUCAAGUUCAUUAAGCAUCCACUUCAUUGCUUUGCUGGAUCAGAAUCAGGAAGUUCAGCAGCUCCUAGACUUGAGCCUACAAUAAUGUCAGAAGAGUACAGAAGUUUGACAGGUUUUAUUUUCUUCCUUUUAAACAUGAGUGUUUUAGAAUGGUCUGUGCACUUAAUGUCAGCCAGAAUUUUGAGUAAACAAUAUUACACUUUGAAUCAUAAAAGCAAUUCUACUGGUAGCCAAAGUUUUGAAACUGAUUAAGUACAUGCACUUAGAUAUUUGGAAGUAUAGAUUUAAUGGCACUCUGUCCCAAGACUCAGCAAGGACAUUCUUUGUAAGAUCCUAACUUAUCAUAAUUAUUGAAUGUAGUAUGCAUUUCAGUCAUUUCAGGUAUAAACUUAAACACAUUUAGUCUCAUUUUAUUAAAAGGAAAAAUGCAUAUGCUGCAUUUCAGGAGCAAAAGAUGACAUAGCACUGGAAGAAAGGAACUCUAUAGUGCUUAGCACUUCCAAAAUUGCACUGCCUUCAUUUUUGAGAAAAGUAGUGAAUCAUUGCCUUUCCUAACAGUGAAAGAUUCUGCUGGUGGCUGAAUGAAACAAUUAAGAAGGGUAAGCCUCCCCUCUUCAUGGCCACAAUGAUUCGUGAACAGAGGCGUGAUGCUUUUGCUGGCAGACAGGAGAGAAGGGUAGGGAAGGCAGGCUGUUCCCAGGGCAGUGACACAAGUUUAUGUAGUUGUCAACAUUGUUUCUCAGGUACAGCUGACUGCAAAGUUUCUGAGGAACAUUUUUUGCUAACAGUGUUUUUCCUCUUUACAAACCCCACCAGGAGCUCUCUAUUAGACUGCAAUAAAGUGCAGAAACCUGUCUCUCUUUCACUCCUUUCAAGAUGCUCCAAAAACGGCCCAUGCCUUGAUACAAGCACAAAAGGAAAACAGGUAGAGAACCACAAGUAGUCAACAACGCUGUGGGCACGGUAGAUUUUGUCCUGGGCAUUUAAAAAGCACUGAAAUUCAAGUGAGGAUUCUAAUCAGAGAUAACAAAUAUGUUUUCUUUCUACUUCUCAAUUUCAUCAUUUCAUCAAUCACUCCGCAACUGAAAAGCAAAACAGGUUACAACCUCAGAAAUAACCAUCAUCCUUCUAAUUCUUUUCAUUCCCUCUUUCCCUCCAAUAUACUAAGAAUGCAUUAGGACUUUUUACCAAAAAUCAAUGCUUAACAACAAACUGCAACCUGAAGUGUCCACUGACUUUAUUGCUUUAAACUUGUUUGCAGUUUAAUACACACCAAACUCCAUGGAAAUUUUGUCUCAUUACACCCAGGCCGCUGCAUAUUCUGCCAAAUUUCUCACGAGGCCUUCAACCACAGUAAGGCGUGUCAGCACCAUCUUGUGGCUUUCUUGUACAACUUUUGUACAGAAUCCCCAGGAGUUGGUCAGUUUAUGACCUCUCCAUAUCAAGACUUGCAACUGGAAUGCAAACUGUAAGAGUUAAAAUAAGUAGUUGCAUCUCUAGGGUCAUUUUGCAGUUUCCUCAGACUCUGAAGGCUGCUGGUCAGGAUAAAUGGAUGGAUCAGAUGCCUGUUCUUCAGACUCAGCUAUUUCCCCAAACUUUGCAAACAUUAGAUUAUUAAGUAAACAGAAACCUACUGCUUGAUUUUUCUCUCUUUAAAUGGCUUUUGUUUUGUGAGUCUAAACAUAGUAAAAUUUUUUUACUCUCUUCUCCCAUAUUGUUCUGGUAGUUUUUCCUCUGCUUAAGCUCCAGUAAAUCUCUACUCUCAUUGAAAAUAAACAGUCAGUUUAGGUAAAAAUCUUCUAUCUCUCCCUCUGUAGCAAAUACUUCACAUGAAAUAUCCCAAGCCUCCAUUUGUUUUUUUCAUAGCUGCAGCCCACUUCCAAUUAGUAGCUGAAUUUAUCUUCCUCUACUCUUUCUUGCUGAGGAUUCACAGCUUACUGGAGAAAAAGAAAAAAUCCUGCUAUGCACAAUAGCAAAACCUGCACCAUUAUUUUCCAUAACUUUUCCCUUAUUGUGUUCCCAAAAGCCAUCAAUUUCUUCUUGCCUGACAUUCUGAAUGUCCUUUUGCAGUAAUGAUGUCUCCUACCUUAGACUCAUCAGCAUCUCAUCAAUGCACUCCUCCUUUCCAGGCAAAAAUCCUUCAUAAAAAUAUUAACCUUGUUUCCAAACCAAUACUGGGAAAACUCUACUAUUCAUCUUCCUCCUGUUUAGCACUCCCCCUCCCAAGACUGUUGUCAUGUCCCCCUCAAUCAUUGCCUUAUUCACAUUAUAAUUCUUUUAAGUAUCAUUUUUCUUCAGGGGAACAAAUAAAUUCCUAGACAGGCCAAUAUAACUCCUUUUACAGAUUCCAGUCAACACUGGAUCUACUUCCUUUGCAUCUACCUUAUCAAAUAGAUUUAACUGGAAUCCUGUACCACACUAGAAAGCAGGCAACAUCACAAAUUAUGUCUUUAUAUGGGUUUUCAUUGUCAUCACACAAUUUAAAACUUAAAAGUUGCACAAGACAAGACAACUGCAGAAUCAAAGAAUACAUAUAAGUAUGCCCUUGCCUACAAAUCAAUAAAUACAUAUAAAAAUAAUUAUAUUUUUGCCUAUGUCAAAUACAGCAUUCACAGCAGCUGCAAUGUCUUGCGGUGUAGUAACAAAAGGCAAAGGUUUCAUGCCAUGAUUUCACAUGCAAAAUAAAAUGAAGUGGUCAUGGGAAUUAAUGUAAAUAAAAGAGGGGACAUGAGCUGCAGUUAGACUUCCAGUAGAUUUGAGGAAUAAACCUGGAACAAUAUUUCAGGUUUACCUUAUGGUUGCAAAAGUUGUGUAUUAUGACCAUCAUAUUAUUUUUUUUCCAAAGUGUGUGUUUCUGUCUAACAGGCUCAAAUGCAUCCCUGAGGAGGGUCCAUCUUGAGUCUUCUGCAUUUUCCCUGUCCCUGCUGUGAAAUACAAGCUCUCCUGAAAUAGCUCUGUUCUGGACAUUCACAUACAAGGGACCAGGCCCAGACUAAGGAAAAUAAUAUAACUGCCUACUUUACCUUUCAGUCGCUUUGCUGGGAUUUAGUAGCCUGAAUGCAUUUUUGGGAUUAUUCCAUUGAAGUAAGGAUAGAGUAAGGUCCCGUAACAGUGAAGAUGGUCAAGUAAAGUAGUUCAGGUAAUUACAGUCCAAUCCGCCAAACAUCAAUAUUUGAAAAGAGAUAGUGACAAAUUAGAAGUAAGCAACAUAUUAAACUGUCUUUAACCACCUUGAAGAAAACAAGAUUUUAACAAAGUUGAUAUAUUUGUCAGGAACAAUUCAUGGCAAAUCAAUAUAAUUGCUUUCAAAACAGCUGAUCUAGCAUACAAGGGGACAGGUCCCUGUAAUGAGCAAACAAGAGAAAUACAGUUCAGAUGAAGGUGCACUAAUUUCAGGUCAAAGCAGUUGAAUGAAAUUAUUCAGAUUAUUAUUGGAAAAAUGGAAUACGUUUCAAAAAGGCACAGAUUUCUUGUUAUAUCCAGUAUUUUAAUGAAUUAUGGUAUUUUGUGUUUCUUUAAAAUUUGUAGCUGACACAAAUUUGACGGGUAUUGCUCAGCUCCUGACUCAUUUCUACCCAGUGCAAAUCUAUUCAUCUCAAUCCAGCUGGUGUUGUCUAGCAAAUCUUCUGAAUAUUCUGGAAUAUAGUGUUCAAUGUAAUUAAGCAUUGAAUAAUGAUCAUAAGAAGAGACAAAGCUAAUCAACAGGAACUCUUCUUGACUCAGCUAAAAACCAAUAUGCAGUUAUGAAAUAUUUACCAUAAUGACCUUCCUCUCUGGUACUCCCUCACAAAGUUUUCAGGUUAGAAAAUGAGCAAAGAAUAACUCAUGCUUUGUCUCAUUCUAAACAGAAGCCUGGCUUUUAUUGACCAGAGCAAUCCUCUCAAAACCCCAUUAUUUCAAAUCACAACUAAUACUAGAAAUUUUAAAACUCUGUUCCAUAGUCCAUGAAAUUGAUUAAUUCUGGUGUCUAUUAUACUUCUAUAUCCAAGGACAAAAUUUGACACUACUCUCUAAUUUAUCUAGCAUUGCAAAAUGCUACAAAGCAGUACAAGCAGUAAAUUGAGACUAAUGUUUCAAGUAGGAGGCAAAGCAUCCACUAAAACCAUCUGCAGAUUUAUGUCUUUCAUACUGUGUAUCAGAAUACACGGAGGUUUUCUAUGUUGUUAUCUUAUUUUGAACAUUGAAAUCUAGCUCAAACAUCACCAUGCACAGUUUAUUACAAGAUCCCAAACAUGCCCUGUUCAAAUGGAAGCAGACAGAAUUUUUCCACCAUCAGUAGUUAAAAAAGAAUUCUUUUGAACUAUGAUGUGUGUGUUGAGUGCAUUAUAUACUGGUGGUUUAGCAUAGUUUGUUUUUUAAAGAAUUUGCUACUAAAAUGUUAUAGAGAGUUUAAUUGUAAAUGCACAGACAAGAAGCACAGUAAGCCUGUGGCAUUCUUCUGCAUUUCAAGUUCUCAUAAAUAAUCUGAUCAAGUGUCUUGGAAAUAAAUGAGUGUGGAUAUAACUUUAAGAUUUACCCUGCCUCAUUAAUCUGUCUCUAAGUUACCCUCUGUCUUUUCAAGAACUCCCCCAUUUCAGCUGACACUGUACUCUUGCCUGAGCUUCCAUAGAAGUGCUGUAUGCUGCAAACAAGCUUUUCAUCCAUGGCAAGACAGUCCCUGAAAACUGAUGUAGUUUAAAACCCUCGAGGAAUCUUUGCAUUACUAGUGUUAUAAUGAAGCCCGGGGAUAGGGUUUAACACUGGAGUUACAGACAUGACAUCCAGCCUUAAGGAGUAGCUGCUGACACAACACCAUUCUACCCCUGAGCAGUAAUGGUAGAACACCCUGGUUACAUGCAGUACCCUCUACUCUGCUACAGGAUUAGAUUUAAAAAUUAGAUUUAAAAAAAUCCCACAGAUUAUAAAUUGUUUCAUUGGAUAAAGGAAUUAAGAUAUUAAUGAUCAAGAUGGAGAGUGUACCUUCUUGUGCUAGAAGUUGUACUUUGAAACAGCCACACCACCCUGCCCUGCUGAAAAUGGACAUUAUUUGAGUGCCAACAUGUACUGCCACCUGAGUAGCACCAUGCUGCCAUGCUGAUUUUCAGCAUGGCAUUUUCAUAAACAUCUCAGUGUGAACUCUUCAAGGACCUUGUAGCUUUUUUAAUUAGGGUGAAAAUUAGGGCAUUUGUACUUGGCUUGCUAAUAUAAUAUCCUAAUGCUGUCUUUGGCUAUAUGAAUCCGUACUUUAGAACUGGGAAAUUGUUCUGCAAUACCAACAGGUUCUUAUCAAGCUUUACUACUGCUUUAUUAUACUACUACUAUUUUCUUUUAUUUUACAUUAAAAUUUCUUCCCUUCUCCACAUAACCUCUAGGUGUCAAGUGCCUCCUCGCUUGUCACCUCACUGUCCCAAAACCACUUCAAAUUAAAACCAGAGUUGUCACUCAUCAUGUGGGAAAAUAUUAAGUGUCUUACAGUACUUGUAUCAGUAAAACAGAUGGUGAUGUAAACCAAGAUGCAAAUUCAGCCUACAGAAUAUAGUCACAGAGUUAAUACAAUCAAACUUCCACUGAAGAAGGAGGUGCAUAUUUACACAGCUCUUAACUGGAAGCAGAAAAAAGGUAAAUAAAUGAAAGCCAUAACAUUUAACCUUCCUGAAGCUGCUCAGCAUUUGUCCUAAUGCUCCUGCUUAGCAAGUGUCACCAUCAAAGCAGAUAUUAGGAAUGGUACUUGAAGUGCUGGAACCUGGUAUUCCAGCUGCCAUGAGUAUCCAGACAGGUUCAGAAGAUGAGCCAUUAGAUCAGAAACUUCUGGGAAGGGCCAAAUGGGUUUUGAGUUGAUUUCAGCACCACCACAGAGUUUCAGGCCCAUUAUCUUUUGGUAACAUGCAGUAAUGUCUUCAUCAGUUACACUAAAUUACAUUAAUGUACUGCAAUACUUAAAAUUAAAAGAGCAGUAAUACAAACCACAGUAAUAUACAUAUUUUACUAUCAUUUUUUACUACGGAUUAUAUUCAGCCACUGUUGCCAGCAAUCAUUACAAUUUUAAGAACUCGAUCAGCACUAGCUAUUCAUAGCAGCUCUAAGUAUGAAUAGAAUAUUCAGACUUUUCUGAAUAUUUAGACUUUUCCAGCAUUAUGCCUUUCAAUAUUGGAUCCACUAAUACCUCUCUCUCCAUAUAUUCUUUUACCUGGCACCUAGGAAGAACCUUCUAAUUCUUUACUCAGUAACACAACUUAGGCAGCAGGAAUUAAAAUCCUUUUACAGGGGUUCAGUUGGGAAGGCUAUAGAUGAGAGACUCAUUGAUAGCCAGAAAAUUUCACUGACCCACUUCCUAUCAUCAUUGUCAUUAAGAACUCCCAGACACAAAUGGAAUCAGACUGUGGGUCGUGACUUGUCCUAACAUAACAACUCUUUACCAACUGUCAUCUUUCCAUCAGACCCUGAGACCUUCAAACCUCAGUAGGAAAGAACACCACCAAUGAUCAGCAUGGUGCUGUUGCCUCAGACAGCUUCUGAUAGCCCUUUAACAGGGUGGGAGCAGAAGUGCAUUCCCAUGGAUCUAACUGAAUGCGCCUUGUACACCCUAUUUUGUGAUUAGCCAGGUGCUAGCAGCAUUUUGAACACAACAGACAUAUGAGGGCAUCCUCCAUCAUGCAAAGUUUUAUGACAGGCACAGAAGAGACUGUCCUCAAAUGCCUCCAUAUGCUAACAUGGAUGCACCCUCAUCAAACAGCUGGCCUACCAGUUUUAAAGAAAACGUACGCUAAUGGUAUUAUUGCUUAAUAAACCCUUAUUGUGCAUAAACCCUUUCAUGAUGUUUCUGUGAUCUGAUCCUUAUUUAGGAGCAAUCAAAGCACUCUGGCAGCAGAAACAGCUGUGUAUAUUGACCAUGAAAACUGCUGACCAAACUAAGCUUGGACACAUGAAAAACAAAGAAUCACUUACCUGUGGAGUCUUGACUCAAAGUUUCUUGACUACUACUGUUGUAAGAAGGUACUGGAGUGAUUGAAAGAGAUGCUGGACAGGACAAUGGACAUGAGAAGUCAUUCUGCAUAGCAAAACAUUGACACAUGGGAACACAGGCAUCUUCAGAGACAGUGAGACCGAGGCGAGGGUUCCCAUACACACACAGAUUCUUCCAGCGAAGCAGUCCUAUUGCAAGAGGGCCAACAGCUUCAGAACCUGACAAUAAAAACCUGGAGUUAAAACCCCUGUCCUUGUAUUGUACAGCUUGUAAUUUUGGACAAGGAAGCUAUAGUAAGGUAAUACUCGUUCCUGUUUUGACCAUUAAGUUUGUCUGUCCCCUGGAAAAGAAUGUAAUAUUUUGUUCUGGUCCACUAUCAGCAAUGUUCUUAAAUGCUGGUGUAAUGCUGAAAGAAUACUUUCACUAUGUGGCCUCCUUGUACUGACAAGAUAUAUUUAACAUGAAAUAAACCUUCUAAUUUCUGUAUGAA